AGACUGCAUAUCUUCUCAUGUACAGAGGUUCAAAACCCACCAAAUACAAACUGCUCCCAGGCAGCAUAUCUUCUCAUGUACAGAGAUGAGAAUUCUUCGAGGGGCUCACAGAGUGCACUCUGGAACAAACACACAAUGGUUGUUUUUGUUAAAAUUAAUGGAUCUAAGAAACAAAAUGAUCUGUGGUUUGUAAAUAAAUUUCAAAGUUGAGAGGAUUGAGGGAUUAUUUUUGUGUGAGGCCCUGUUUUUAUGAAAAUCCUGCUUGUUCUGCCUUUAAAGAGGAGGAGAGGUUUCUGUUAUUGUAUUAUAUGAGUUCAGAAAUACAAACAACUAAUCUAAUCAACAACCUGAAAUCAUAGUAAUCAGGAGUAAAAUGAUUUUAAUUAUGAAUCGACUUUGCUUUAUAAUUAUUGUGGCCCAUUUCAAUGUGUUUGACAAUAGACUGCCUUUAUAGUUGUAUGAUUUUCAUAGUAUUACAUUUAAAACAAAUGAAACACUUUAACUCAGAAAUACUCACAGAAUCAAUCUCAUAUAGCUAUAUUUAAUGCAUGCUAAUAUUAAUCACAGAUUACUUUUUACUAUUUACUAUUUUACUCAUUUUGUUUGACUGACUCAUUUUAAAUACAUGAAUACACAUGACAUCAUUGUUUUUAUUUUGAUAAUAGAAACCUGUAUGUUCCAUCAUUCUGUCAUUUAACCAGCUAAAUGUUGCUGCAAACUGAAAUUUCUAGCUUGUUUGGGUGUAAUAAUCAGACUGUGUAAAUAUAAAUGAAGAAAAUA
Centropristis striata (black sea bass) is the source of this 780-nucleotide long non-coding RNA. RefSeq lists it as uncharacterized. Lineage: Eukaryota; Metazoa; Chordata; Actinopteri; Perciformes; Serranidae. The record is from RefSeq and is a predicted model, not a curated record. The transcript is spliced from 4 exons.